This 69-nucleotide transfer RNA is filed under the name Ovis aries (sheep). It matches the Rfam family "tRNA". Rfam says of the family: Transfer RNA (tRNA) molecules are approximately 80 nucleotides in length. Their secondary structure includes four short double-helical elements and three loops (D, anti-codon, and T loops). Lineage: Eukaryota; Metazoa; Chordata; Mammalia; Artiodactyla; Bovidae. The record is from Rfam by way of RNAcentral.
CCUGAUGGCUGAGAUAGUGAAGAAUCUGCCUGUAAUGCAGGAAACCCAGGUUCGAUCCCUGGGUCAGAA